UUCAUGGAGAGUUUGAUCCUGGCUCAGGACGAACGCUGGCGGCGUGCCUAAUACAUGCAAGUCGAGCGAAUCCUGAGGUGCUUGCACCUCUUGGUUAGCGGCGGACGGGUGAGUAACACGUGGGCAACCUGCCUGUAAGACUGGGAUAACAUCGGGAAACCGAUGCUAAUACCGGAUAAUCCUUUUCCUCUCAUGAGGGAAAGCUGAAAGUCGGCUUCUCGCUGACACUUACAGAUGGGCCCGCGGCGCAUUAGCUAGUUGGUGAGGUAACGGCUCACCAAGGCGACGAUGCGUAGCCGACCUGAGAGGGUGAUCGGCCACACUGGGACUGAGACACGGCCCAGACUCCUACGGGAGGCAGCAGUAGGGAA
RNAcentral lists this non-coding RNA (371 nucleotides) under Bacillus sp. MRMR6. Its description in RNAcentral is "Bacterial small subunit ribosomal RNA". It matches the Rfam family "Bacterial small subunit ribosomal RNA", at positions 1 to 361 of the family's 1533-position model. Lineage: Bacteria; Bacillati; Bacillota; Bacilli; Caryophanales; Bacillaceae. The record is from Rfam by way of RNAcentral.